GCUCGAUGAGUAGGGCGGGACACGUGGUAUCCUGUCUGAAUAUGGGGGGACCAUCCUCCAAGGCUAAAUACUCCUGACUGACCGAUAGUGAACCAGUACCGUGAGGGAAAGGCGAAAAGAACCCCGGCGAGGGGAGUGAAAAAGAACCUGAAACCGUGUACGUACAAGCAGUGGGAGCACCCUUCGGGGUGUGACUGCGUACCUUUUGUAUAAUGGGUCAGCGACUUAUAUUCUGUAGCAAGGUUAACCGUAUAGGGGAGCCGGAGGGAAACCGAGUCUUAACCGGGCGUUAAGUUGCAGGGUAUAGACCCGAAACCCGGUGAUCUAGCCAUGGGCAGGUUGAAGGUUGGGUAACACUAACUGGAGGACCGAACCGACUAAUGUUGAAAAAUUAGCGGAUGACCUGUGGCUGGGGGUGAAAGGCCAAUCAAACCGGGAGAUAGCUGGUUCUCCCCGAAAGCUAUUUAGGUAGCGCCUCGUGAAUUCAUCUCCGGGGGUAGAGCACUGUUUCGGCUAGGGGGCCAUCCCGGCUUACCAACCCGAUGCAAACUGCGAAUACCGGAGAAUGUUAUCACGGGAGACACACGGCGGGUGCUAACGUCCGUCGUGAAGAGGGAAACAACCCAGACCGCCAGCUAAGGUCCCAAAGUCAUGGUUAAGUGGGAAACGAUGUGGGAAGGCCCAGACAGCCAGGAUGUUGGCUUAGAAGCAGCCAUCAUUUAAAGAAAGCGUAAUAGCUCACUGGUCGAGUCGGCCUGCGCGGAAGAUGUAACGGGGCUAAACCAUGCACCGAAGCUGCGGCAGCGA
Molecule: ribosomal RNA, 807 nt
Filed under: Salmonella enterica subsp. enterica serovar Typhimurium
Lineage: Bacteria; Pseudomonadati; Pseudomonadota; Gammaproteobacteria; Enterobacterales; Enterobacteriaceae
Description: partial 23S ribosomal RNA
Rfam family: Bacterial large subunit ribosomal RNA
Source: RNAcentral